RNAcentral lists this long non-coding RNA (1708 nucleotides) under Nicotiana tabacum (common tobacco). RNAcentral's name for it is "long non-coding RNA (NTAB_LNC006520)". Lineage: Eukaryota; Viridiplantae; Streptophyta; Magnoliopsida; Solanales; Solanaceae. The record is from RNAcentral.
GUCAGCAUUAGAGUUUUAAACCCUAAACUGAACAUUUUUCCACGCAAUCAGCAUUAGGGUUUUAAACCCUAAACUGAAUGUUUCCAUACAGUCAGCAUUAGGGUUUUAAACCCUAAACUGAACUUUCCCAUUCAGUCAGCAUUAGGGUUUUAAACCCUAAACUGAGCUUUUCCAUUUAGACAGCAUUAGGGUUUUAAACCCUAAACUGAGCUUUUCCAUGCAAUCAGCAUUAGGGUUUUAAACCCUAAACUGAAUUUCUCCUUUAGUCAGCAUUAGGGUUUUAAACCCUAAACCGAACUUUUUUUCCAUUCAGCUAGCAUUAGGGUUUUAAACCCUAAACUGAGCUUUUCCAUGCAAUCAGCAUUAGGGUUUUAAACCCUAAACUGAAUGUUUCCAUACAAUCAGCAUUAGGGUUUUAAACCCUAAACCGAACUUUCCCAUUCAGCCAGCAUUAGGGUUUUAAACCCUAAACUGAGCUUUUCCAUUUAGACAGCAUUAGGGUUUUAAACCCUAAACUGAGCUUUUCCAUGCAAUCAGCAUUAAGGUUUUAAACCCUAAACUGAAUUUCUCCUUUAGUCAGCAUUAGGGUUUUAAACCCUAAACCGAACUUUUUUUACAUUCAGCUAGCAUUAGGGAUUUAAACCCUAAACUGAGCUUUUCCAUGCAAUCAGCAUUAGGGUUUUAAACCCUAAACUGAAUUUUUCCAUGCAAUCAGCAUUAGGGUUUUAAACCCUAAACUGAACUUUCCCAUUCGGCCAGCAUUAGGGUUUUAAACCCUAAACUGAGCUUUUCCAUUCUGUCAGCAUUAGGGUUUUAAACCCCUAAACUGAACUUUUUCCAUUCAGCCAGCAUAAGGGUUUUAAACCCUAAACUGAGCUUUUCCAUGCAGUCAGCAUUAGGAUUUUAAACCCUAAACUGAGCUUUUCCAUUUAGUCAGCAUUAGGGUUUUAACCCCUAAACUGAACUUUUUCCAUUCAGUCAGCAUUAGGGUUUUAAACCCUAAACUGAACUUUUUCCAUUCAGCCAGCAUAAGGGUUUUAAACCCUAAACUGAGCUUUUCCAUUUAGUCAGCAUUAGGGUUUUAAACCCUAAACUGAACUUUUUCCAUUAAGUCAGCAUUAGGGUUUUAAACCCUAAACUGAGCUUUUCCAUGCAGUCAGCAUUAGGGUUUUAAUUAAACCCUAAACUGAGCUUUUCCAUGCAAUCAGCAUUAGGGUUUUAAACCCUAAACUGAAUGUUUCCAUGCAAUCAGCAUUAGGGUUUUAAACCCUAAACUGAACUUUUCCUUUAGUUAGCAUUAGGGUUUUAAACCCUAAACUGAAUGUUUCCAUACAAUCAGCAUUAGGGUUUUAAACCCUAAACUGAGCUUUUCCAUGCAAUCAGCAUUAAGGUUUUAAACCCUAAACUGAAUUUCUCCUUUAGUCAGCAUUAGAGUUUUAAACCCUAAACUGAACAUUUUUCCAUUCAGCCAGCAUUAGGGUUUUAAACCCUAAACUGAGCUUUUCCAUGCAGUCAGCAUUAGGGUUUUAAAACCCUAAACUGAAUUUUUCAUUGAGUCAGCAUUAGGGUUUUAAACCCUAAACUGAACUUUUUUCCAUUCAGCCAGCAUUAGGGUUUUAAACCUAAACUGAGUUUUUCCAUGCAGUCAGCAUUAGGGUUUUAACCCCUAAACUGACCCUUUUUCCUUUAAUCAGCAUUAGGGUUUUUA